Molecule: ribosomal RNA, 410 nt
Filed under: uncultured bacterium
Lineage: Bacteria
Description: bacterial SSU rRNA
Rfam family: Bacterial small subunit ribosomal RNA
Source: RNAcentral
GUGCCAGCCGCCGCGGUAAUACGGAGGGUGCAAGCGUUAAUCGGAAUUACUGGGCGUAAAGCGCGCGUAGGCGGGUUUGCAAGUCAGAAGUGAAAUCCCCGGGCUCAACCUGGGAAUAGCUUUUGAUACUGUGGACCUUGAGUUCGGGAGAGGGUGGCGGAAUUCCAGGUGUAGGAGUGAAAUCCGUAGAUAUCUGGAGGAACAUCAGUGGCGAAGGCGGCCACCUGGCCCGAUACUGACGCUGAGGUGCGAAAGCGUGGGUAGCAAACAGGAUUAGAUACCCUGGUAGUCCACGCCGUAAACGAUGGGUGCUAGGAGUCGGGGAGUAUUUCCUCGGUGCCGUAGCUAACGCGAUAAGCACCCCGCCUGGGGAGUACGGUCGCAAGGCUGAAACUCAAAGAAAUUGACGG